Long non-coding RNA from Equus caballus (horse), 2683 nucleotides. NCBI's taxonomy places the organism in Eukaryota, Metazoa, Chordata, Mammalia, Perissodactyla, Equidae. The record is from Ensembl.
AAUGUGUGUCAUUUCAAAUUGCAUUCAGUAAUUUUUUUUUUCUAUCAGAAUAGAUUCUUUUGGUCAAAGUCACAUGACUAAGGCAGAAAACAAUCUAAAGACUUUGGAAUGACUGUCUAAAUAUUGACAAUUACCAGCAUGUUUCCUCUAGGUCUCCUUGCUGAAAGCUACAUCGAGGAAUGACACACAGUCACGCAGCUCCGGAGCUUGGCAGCUGAGCACCUCUGGAUCUCUGGCCUUCAGCCUCCAGAGGAUAAUUCUUAAAUCUACAAACUGUCUCAUGCAGCAUUUUUUCCCCUCCUCCUCAAAUAAUAUCCAAUUACCGAGCACUGUGCUGGGAGAACCUGGGGAAAUGCUAGAAGGAAACACAGCUGAGAGCCACUGUGGUUUGACAGCUCUCCAGCUACUUUGAAAAUAUUUUGGCAAAAACAAGGUUUUAAGUAAAACUGUUUCCUUUGGUAACAUACCCAAAACUGCAGGUUUUACAUUUUCAGUAAUAUGAUUUGGGCCAAAAGAGGGGAAAGAAAAGAAAAAAAUGGGGAGGGGGACUAUUCUUAAGGGAGAAAGAUAGACUCUUUUAAAAAGAGGGGACAACUUUGCAUGAGAUGCAAGAAUGAGGGCAAGAAGGAAAGCUAUGGAGGCGUAUCUAACAUUCUCUCCUUACUUCUUUCCUCUACUGAGGAAUUUCCCCCUGUCAAAACACCACGUUCUCUUUUGCCCUCAGAUGACCUGGAAGGGAUUCUCUGGGGCUGACCAGGCUGGGAUUUGUAUUACUGCUUAUUAUAAGAUGAUCAAUAGUCAGUUGAGAAGGGUCCAACUGCAUAUGGCCAUCCCACAUUAUAGUAGAUACAGGGGGGAUGAAAUGGAAUGGUUUUCAUCUCAGCCCACUAGUUGGUCCUUUUAGAAUAGGCUUAUUUUUUUUCACUUCAUUUUCUCCUUGGUCACAACCACACAUGAAAUCCCUCACUUCUUGAAAAUGCUAGGCUCUCUCCUAUCUCAGGGCCUUUGUAAAUGCUGUUUUCUCUAUCUAGAAUGCUCUGCCCCCAACCUCCACCACUCUUUUUCAGGGAAUUCUUCCCUUGUCCUCCAGAUGACGUCAGCUUCUCAUGUCCUCUUUCUGGCUACCUGUUUACUUACUCCACAGUCAUCUGUAAAUACUGCAAGGGCUUGUCCAUCACAGUAUCUCUAGCAUAAUGUGGAGGCUUAAUUAAAAAGUAUCAACCAGUUGUCAGAUUGAACCUGCCUAACUUUGUCUUCUAUUUCUUAUUGUACUCCUUUCCUAAUAAGCUUUUCCUUCUUUGUUUUUGUUUCCCCUUAUAUUUCCCUCCCCUUUCUCUGUUCCUAUCAUGCUUUCUCCCCUCUCCAUAUUUUGAGGCUCUGCCUAAAGCAAGGUUUGUAGAAAACAUACUCUAAACUAAAGAAUGUUAACACGAGAAGGUGUUUCAAAGGUUAUUUAAUACAGUUCCUCCAAUUGUAUAAUUGUGCUCCAUUGUUCAAGGUCACACAGCUACUUGGGAAUAGAAUUUAGAACCUUAUAAUUCUGGCUCUAUGGUUAGUCUUCCUUUCAUUAUUGUAACACUAUAUAAAGUGUUAGAGGAGGAGGUGUCCCAAAAGUACUAGUCAUUUCUCUACAACACAAAUUCCCUAUCAACCCACAGUUGAAGUCUUGUUGAAGAGAAAAGAUCGCUUCCUUGGUCCUUCCUAGAUAGUUGCUAUUAUAAAAAUAAAACUUAAGGUCAAACUCUGUCCUCACUUCCCUCAGAUUCAAGAAGAUCCACCUGUCUCAGAGUGCUAAGGGCAAGAGUCAAGUCUGAUACUCAGUCCCUACAACAAAUGCCUAUGUAAAAGUGAACCCAAAGGUCCAAGACGCUGUCAAAAAGAGAAAGAAAUGGUGGUCUUCAUCAAUAAUGAUGAUAAUAACAAUAGCUAACUGACAUUUUUAUUACUGUGCAUCUGGAACUGUUCUAGGAACCUAUCUAAAUACACGUAUUUGCUCAUUUAUUCUCCCAACAACGGUGUGACUUAAGUACUAUUAUCCCCACUUUACAGUUGAUGAAACCGUGGCAUGAAAAUAUAGAAUAACUUGUUCAAGGUCUCGGAACAGUAAAUGGGCCUGAGAAAAUCUGGAGUCAAAACCUUGGGAAUGGUGAGUCCUUUCACAACUGCGUGUCUAACUGGCGAGUCUGUUCCUGAGGCACUGAACUAACUGAGAAUUUUGCUUUGUCUGUCUGUCUUCUUCCAAUAGUUUUCACUUAUUGCUAGUUUGGUUAUUUCAGGCAUUAGGACUGGGGUUGUAUCCUUUCUCACAAGCUGAAGAACCUGUCAAGGACAUGGUCUUAAUGGAAGUGAUGGGCAAGAGGCUCCUCAGAAAGCAGUUUUGUUUCUGCUUCAUCAUAGCACUUAGAAUAAAGCCCACGCCACCACAGCCUUGCACGAUCAGGGCCCUGCCCAUCGUCACUGUGGUCUCCAACCAGUCUCCCUUUUGCUCCCUGUAUUUUGUCCCAUGACUGGAUCCUUACUGUCAUUCAUAUCUCAGCUCAACUAUCACCACUCAGCAAAGCCUACCCUCUCUUAGUUCCAUACCCCACGAUUAGAAUGAUUUCAGGAUGGAAAAAAUUUAAAGCACUGAUAAGCCCUGAGCAACAAUGGCACCAGCAAAGAGAAAAGUAUUCCAUAAAUCUCC